RNAcentral lists this ribosomal RNA (381 nucleotides) under uncultured eukaryote. Its description in RNAcentral is "partial 18S ribosomal RNA". It matches the Rfam family "Eukaryotic small subunit ribosomal RNA", at positions 592 to 976 of the family's 1831-position model. The record is from RNAcentral.
CAAUAGCGUAUAUUAAAGUUGUUGCGGUAAAAAAACUCGUAGUUGGAUUUCUACCGAAGAUAGCCGGUCGGGUCUUCGACCUUGUAUCUGGUUUUGUCUUUGGUAUCCUCAUAGGGAACGUUUCUGCGCUUUAUUGCGUGGUGCGGUAUCUAUGACUUUUACUUUGAGGAAAUUAGAGUGUUCACGGCAGGCAAACGCCUUGAAUAUAUUAGCAUGGAAUAAUAACAUAGGAUCUUCGUCCUAUUUUGUUGGUUUCUAGGGCUAAGAUAAUGAUUAAUAGGGAUAAUUGGGGGCAUCUGUAUCAACGCGUCAGAGGUGGAAUUCUUGGAUUGCGUUGCGACAAACUACUGCGAAAGCAUUUGCCAAGGAUGUUUUCAUUGA